RNAcentral lists this ribosomal RNA (111 nucleotides) under Jaculus jaculus (lesser Egyptian jerboa). The record is from RNAcentral. Lineage: Eukaryota; Metazoa; Chordata; Mammalia; Rodentia; Dipodidae.
GUCUACAGCCAUAUCACCCUGAACACACUUGAUCUCCUCUGAUCCUCAGAAGCUAAGCAGGGUUGGGCCUGGUUAGUACUUGGAUAGGGAAAAAAAAAAAAAGCUACUACC